Molecule: ribosomal RNA, 495 nt
Filed under: uncultured bacterium
Lineage: Bacteria
Description: partial 16S ribosomal RNA
Rfam family: Bacterial small subunit ribosomal RNA
Source: RNAcentral
GACGAACGCUGGCGGCGUGCCUAAUACAUGCAAGUAGAACGCUGAAGGAGGAGCUUGCUUCUCUGGAUGAGUUGCGAACGGGUGAGUAACGCGUAGGUAACCUGCCUGGUAGCGGGGGAUAACUAUUGGAAACGAUAGCUAAUACCGCAUAAUAUUGACUAUUGCAUGAUAGUCAGUUGAAAGGUGCAACUGCACCACUACCAGAAGGACCUGCGUUGUAUUAGCUAGUUGGUGGGGUAACGGCUCACCAAGGCGACGAUACAUAGCCGACCUGAGAGGGGGGUCGGCCACCCUGGGACUGGGACCCGGCCCAGACUCCUACGGGGGGCAGCCGUAGGGGAUCUUCGGCCAUGGACGGAAGUCUUACCGAGCAACGCCGCGUGAGUGAAGAAGGUUUUCGGAUCGUAAAGCUCUGUUGUAAGAGAAGAACGAGUGUGAGAGUGGAAAGCUCACACUGUGACGGUAUCUUACCAGAAAGGGACGGCUAACUACGUG